AACGAACGCUGGCGGCAGGCCUAACACAUGCAAGUCGAGCGGACCUUUCGGGGUCAGCGGCGGACGGGUGAGUAACGCGUGGGAAUAUGCCCUUCUCUACGGAAUAGUCCUGGGAAACUGGGGGUAAUACCGUAUACGCCCUUUGGGGGAAAGAUUUAUCGGGGAAGGAUUAGCCCGCGUUGGAUUAGGUAGUUGGUGGGGUAAUGGCCUACCAAGCCGACGAUCCAUAGCUGGUUUGAGAGGAUGAUCAGCCACACUGGGACUGAGACACGGCCCAGACUCCUACGGGAGGCAGCAGUGGGGAAUCUUAGACAAUGGGGGCAACCCUGAUCUAGCCAUGCCGCGUGAGUGAUGAAGGCCGUAGGGUUGUAAAGCUCUUUCAGCUGGGAAGAUAAUGACGGUACCAGCAGAAGAAGCCCCGGCUAACUCCGUG
RNAcentral lists this ribosomal RNA (433 nucleotides) under uncultured bacterium. RNAcentral's name for it is "partial 16S ribosomal RNA". It matches the Rfam family "Bacterial small subunit ribosomal RNA", at positions 29 to 507 of the family's 1533-position model. The record is from RNAcentral.